This 393-nucleotide ribosomal RNA is filed under the name uncultured bacterium. RNAcentral's name for it is "partial 16S ribosomal RNA". It matches the Rfam family "Bacterial small subunit ribosomal RNA", at positions 523 to 918 of the family's 1533-position model. The record is from RNAcentral.
AUACGGAGGAUGCGAGCGUUAUCCGGAUUUAUUGGGUUUAAAGGGAGCGUAGGUGGGAUAUUAAGUCAGCUGUGAAAGUUUGGGGCUCAACCUUAAAAUUGCAGUUGAUACUGGUUUCCUUGAGUACGGUACAGGUGGGCGGAAUUCGUGGUGUAGCGGUGAAAUGCAUAGAUAUGACGAAGAACACCGAUUGCGUAGGCAGCUGACCAGACCGCAAAUGACGCUCAUGCACGAAAGUGCGGGGAUCGAACAGGAUUAGAUACCCUGGUAGUCCGCACAGUAAACGAUGAAUACUUGUUUUCGGCGAUAUAAUGUCGGAGGCAAAGCGAAAGCGAUAAGUAUUCCACCUGGGGAGUACGCCGGCAACGGUGAAACUCAAAGGAAUUGACGGGG